RNAcentral lists this ribosomal RNA (761 nucleotides) under uncultured Staphylococcus sp. RNAcentral describes it as "bacterial SSU rRNA". It matches the Rfam family "Bacterial small subunit ribosomal RNA", at positions 99 to 847 of the family's 1533-position model. Lineage: Bacteria; Bacillati; Bacillota; Bacilli; Caryophanales; Staphylococcaceae. The record is from RNAcentral.
CGGACGGGUGAGUAACACGUGGAUAACCUACCUAUAAGACUGGGAUAACUUCGGGAAACCGGAGCUAAUACCGGAUAAUAUUUUGAACCGCAUGGUUCAAAAGUGAAAGACGGUCUUGCUGUCACUUAUAGAUGGAUCCGCGCUGCAUUAGCUAGUUGGUAAGGUAACGGCUUACCAAGGCAACGAUGCAUAGCCGACCUGAGAGGGUGAUCGGCCACACUGGAACUGAGACACGGUCCAGACUCCUACGGGAGGCAGCAGUAGGGAAUCUUCCGCAAUGGGCGAAAGCCUGACGGAGCAACGCCGCGUGAGUGAUGAAGGUCUUCGGAUCGUAAAACUCUGUUAUUAGGGAAGAACAUAUGUGUAAGUAACUGUGCACAUCUUGACGGUACCUAAUCAGAAAGCCACGGCUAACUACGUGCCAGCAGCCGCGGUAAUACGUAGGUGGCAAGCGUUAUCCGGAAUUAUUGGGCGUAAAGCGCGCGUAGGCGGUUUUUUAAGUCUGAUGUGAAAGCCCACGGCUCAACCGUGGAGGGUCAUUGGAAACUGGAAAACUUGAGUGCAGAAGAGGAAAGUGGAAUUCCAUGUGUAGCGGUGAAAUGCGCAGAGAUAUGGAGGAACACCAGUGGCGAAGGCGACUUUCUGGUCUGUAACUGACGCUGAUGUGCGAAAGCGUGGGGAUCAAACAGGAUUAGAUACCUGGUAGUCCACGCCGUAAACGAUGAGUGCUAAGUGUUAGGGGGUUUCCGCCCCUUAGUGCU